This 552-nucleotide ribosomal RNA is filed under the name uncultured bacterium. RNAcentral describes it as "bacterial SSU rRNA". It matches the Rfam family "Bacterial small subunit ribosomal RNA", at positions 28 to 478 of the family's 1533-position model. The record is from RNAcentral.
GACGAACGCUGGCGGCGCGCCUAACACAUGCAAGUCGAACGGAGUUGUUUUCUUCACUCCGAGCUUUUUGCCAGUUAGCCGGAGCGGCAAUCGGUUUUGCCCAGCAUAAAAAGCAAAACCGAUUUAGGCUCAUAAAGUAAGGCUAACACAGAGGGCAGAGAGUUGGGAGUGAAGAAAAUAACUUAGUGGCGAACGGGUGAGUAACGCGUGAGUAACCUGCCCUGGAGUGGGGGACAACAGUUGGAAACGACUGCUAAUACCGCAUAAGCCCACGGCCCGGCAUCGGGCUGCGGGAAAAGGAUUUAUUCGCUUCAGGAUGGACUCGCGUCCAAUUAGCUAGUUGGUGAGGUAACGGCCCACCAAGGCGACGAUUGGUAGCCGGACUGAGAGGUUGAACGGCCACAUUGGGACUGAGACACGGCUCAGACUCCUACGGGAGGCAGCAGUGGGGGAUAUUGCACAAUGGGGGAAACCCUGAUGCAGCGACGCCGCGUGGAGGAAGAAGGUUUUCGGAUUGUAAACUCCUGUCGUUAGGGACGAUAAUGACGGUAC